This 4397-nucleotide long non-coding RNA is filed under the name Homo sapiens (human). RNAcentral describes it as "HSALNT0011293". Lineage: Eukaryota; Metazoa; Chordata; Mammalia; Primates; Hominidae. The record is from RNAcentral.
CAAAGUGCUGGGAUUACAGGCGUGAGCCACCGCGCCCGGCCUGCUGAUCCCUGUUUUAAGUCACUAAGAUUUGAGGUGAUUUGUUAAGCAGCAAUAGAUAAAUGGCACAGAACUGUUUUCCAAAAGGGAAUAUGUCCCAUUUUUUAUUAAAUGAAUUAAUUUUUAUGCUCAUAAAAAAAUACAAGCCGUACCCACCCUCCCCCCCGGCCGCCCCCCGCAGGGCCAAUAAUCCUUCUAUGGCUAAAAGAUUACGAUUCAGUUUGCAUCUCUAAAGUACAGUUAUGGAGACUGCUAGUUUUACACCACUAUCUGUUUCUUCCCUUUUUCCACAAUUGGAACUGGUCAUGCACCCACCCAGUCAGGGAAUACAUUUCUGAGCUUCUAUGUCAAUUAUGUGUGACCACAAGACUAGGUUUUCACUUCUAGAGUAUGAAUGGCAAUCAUGCAUGGAUUUCUUGGGCUUUCUCUAUGCUCUUCUUCCCCUCUCCACUACCUGGAAUCUAUAGCAAACUGACUUACAAUUCAGAGAAUUAGAAUGUCCUAGAGAAAGGAGGAGCACCAAUGAGAGGAACCUUGAUCACUUAAAACCUAUGUAGAGCAAGGACUUUCCCCAACUUAAAACACUAUAAUGUUGAAUCUUCCUUAAGCCACUGAAUUAUCAAUGGAUGUCAUUUUCAUAGCAGGCUACUCUUAUCCUAACUAAAGUAAUGGUUUUAUACAAUAUACUUUGGCAUCAGAAUGAUUUAGUUGGUAAAACAUUGGAUCUUGGGUCAAAAACUCUAGGGUACUUUGAUAAACUCUGCCCCAAUUUUCUGAGUUGGUCGGAGGCUUGUUACUUACAGUAACUGUGAUUUUAUUUUCCUAGAUAAAAAUAUACAACUCCAGGUAGGCGAAACAGGAAUUUCUAACACUGACCUUUCUAAUUCCUAAUUCUCCCAAGUAAGAGGGCUACAAUAACCGGUGAUUGCCCUAGGCAUGUGUCAUUUUAGUCCCAAGAAAUGCUUGUAUACCAACAUACUGCCUUAGGGUAAUGUAAUGGGAAAAUAAUCAAGGUGAGUUUUUGGCAUCUGGACAGCCACAGAUAGCUUUCCCAUGAAAGGGCAAAUAUACUCCAUUUUGAGACAAUUAGAACAAAAUUGGGGGAGACGAUUUUAGUUACAUUCUGUAUAUACAUUCAAUGAUGGCAGCCAGUAAGUCCUAAACUUCAGUGUGUAUGAAGGGAACUUGUUAAUCAUGCAAAUUUGAGGACUCUCCCACGUGCCCCAGAGAUCAUACUUCGGUGGAACUAGAGUUGACCCUAUAAUCUCAAGGUUAAAUAUUACUUUAAGUGAUUCUUUUUUUUUUUUUUUCUUUGAGAAGGAGUGUCUGUCACCCAGGCUGGAGUGCAGUGGCGCCAUCUCAGCUCACUGCAAUCUCUGCCUCCCGGGUUCAAGUGAUUCUCCUGCCUCAGCCUCCUGAGCAGCUGGGACUACAGGUGCUUGCCACCACGCCAGGCUAAUUUUUUGUGUUUUCAGUAGAGGCGGGGUUUCACUGUGUUAGCCAGGAUGGUCGUGAUCUCCUGCCCUCGUGAUCUGCCCGCCUCAGUCUCCGAAAGUGUUGGGAUUACAGGCAUGAGCCACCAUGCCUGGCCUAAGUGAUUCUUAGAUAGUGACCCUUCUUUGAGAAACCACAGCCACAGCAGAAAUUGAAUUCAGAUAUUAAGAUUCAGUUCAAGGAAAUGCAGAAAUCGAGAUAUGGCAGCAAAAUCCUGGUGCAAAAGACUUAACAGAGUUUCCAAAUGAGAAGCUUCUAGAUUUUAAAACGUUAUUUUAGGAAUGAUUUUAUUGAAAAAUAAAGAAGUUCAAAACAAAAUUGUGAAAAUGAAAUUGGCCUGUUUUGCCUGUGAACUCCCUACUCAGCCUUCAGUAUCCAAUUUAAAAGUAACUUCCUCUGGAAGUUGUAUUAGGUGUCACUGUUAUGUGCUCUCAUCAUACUCCAUAAUUUCUGGUUCAGAGCAAAUAGCACGUUGAGCUUAGUUAUCUAAUUGCCUACCUUCCCUGUUGAACUAAAUACUCUGUAAGGAAAGAAAUUGUGUCUUUCUUGCUCACCAAAAUAUCCCCAGAGCUUAUUAGGAUGCCAGGAAUACAAGAGGUGUUCAACAAAUAGUUGUCGAAGGAAUGAAUCUCUGAAUGGGAAAUAGCUAGCUGAUUUUACCAGCAUAGGAAAUGGACAUGAACAGUAACGAGACAAAGUGGAAACUGCCUAAAGGAUGUGCUUAUAUAAAGCAGAUGACUUAAGCAAUAUAGACCCAGAGAUGUAUUCAGAAAAUAAUACUGGGCCAUGUCCCCUUGUGGGCAUUUUACUUUGAAGGAAAGAAAAGUGGUAGAUUUUAGUGCAGGGACAAGGAUUGGAAGGUAAAGUCCUUAUUCAGACCAAUCUUCCUGCAGGGACUAUACGUAGCUUUGGGAAAGGGACUUUGAAACACUUUGAUUUUCUUUUCAGUAAUAUAAUUAUGGUACUUAUUCUUUUAUGUUAUUAAAUAUUCUUUUGGAUAACACUGAGGAAGGGGUGUUUGUGAGAAACAGCACUGGUAUUUAGAGUUCCCAGCUAUGAAGGAAAUGCUCUUCACAGGUAUUAGAGUACAACUGACUUGAAAAAAAAUUCAUCUCUCCGUGGUUAUAUUUCUACAAGAAGUUGUUUAAAUUUAAGUAAAAUAUUAAUAUAUGUUAUUUGUCUAACAGUGAAAGAGAAAAAAUCAAGAACAAUAAAACAUUAGAGAAGAAAAUAGAAAAAUCCUGUGAAAAAGGUCCAAAUGCAGGCUGCAAAGAGGGGAAGCCAGUCCUAGCAAACACCUAACCAACUAAAUGACCUGAAAAAAAAGUCUGUCAGCCUCUAUCUACCUGGAUCUCAUUAGUAAAAUUAGGAGGCAGGAUGAAAUAAUUUAUAAGGUUGCUAUUAGCUUUAAAAUUUUUAUGAGUUCAGAGCCUUUAAAAACAUGAUGUCUUCAGCAGAAAACACCACUGUGAAUUUUUUUUCAAUAUUCCUUUUAACUAUAAUGGAAACAAGUUAAAAAUAAUAGGUCUAAUGUUCAUAAAUCCAUUAAAUAUUUACUGGUCACUCUCUUGAUGACUAUUUUGAUUUAAUACAUGGUAUAUAUAAAUCAUCAAUAUUUUCAAGUUCAAAAAUGCACAGGGAGGAAUUUUAUGGCUUCUGUGAUGGCUUUGAACAAAAGUGUAAUUUACUUCCUUGUUUGUGUAAGUGUUUAUAUACUGAUCAUUUGUCAGUAAGCCUGAGAAUCUAAGCACAAUAUUAUAUAUGCAUGCUAAGUGCUUAGUUUAUCAUUAUGAUUUUCCUCUUGAAUUUAAAUUGUGUAAUGCAGAUAAUUUAACUUUUCUAGGGUUCUCGUUUAUUUUUAAAAUGUUAGUGUCCAGGUAACAACCAGAAAAAAAAAAAUUCUAAGCCAUGUGGUAUGCUAAUACUGAAAAUAAAAUGAGUGUUAUUUCCCUUGAGGGAAAUGUAAUUAAAGAUAAAGGGGAGAUAUGCCUAGAAUAAUGACAUUCACUAUACAUAACUAAUAAGAUAAUAUUGUUUUAAAAUUCUGUAAAUUUUUCUUAUUUUACUUAAUUUUAUGUCCCUGCUGGUAUUUUUGCUUUUUCAUAAAAAUUAUCAUUUAUUUUUCUCAACUGCAUAUUGCCAUCUUCAUUUUUUAAUUUUCUCACAUAUUCAUAGAAUUGUUCUCUGUAAUAGAUACUGUACAGUAAUUAUUUGUUGAUCGAUUAACCUUUUCAAUGCUACUUCCGACACCUACUUCUCAUCCUCCGUGUAACAGAUACUGUCAGUUACCUAUCCUUAACAGCCUUUCCACUCCCAACUUCUGUGAAUGGACAAGAGAUGCAAUUGUGAUCACUGAACAUGAGGCAACAUCUUCUAGGAAGACAUUUCCAUAGUCUUCAGACAAAAGGGAGAGAUAUCUUUUCAGACAAUCUUUGAACAAUCCUAUAUGAAGCUUACCUGAAGUUGCUGUAGCCGUUUGGCAAGUCUGGGGAGACUAACAGACACACUGAGGAUAGCAGAAAAUAAAGAUAGAAACAGCCCAGGUUUUUGGUGAAAUUCAUGAGCUUCUGAAUAACGAACCCCAUACCACCCUACCUCUAUAAAAGAAUUCUUAAUAUGUGACAUAAUAAAAUUUCUUUAUUAUUUAAGGCACUUUUAGUUGGGUCUUCUAUUUCUUGCAGCUGAAAUUCAUACACUCAUCAUUCUUUUAUUUAUAUUCUCCAUAUAUAUGAACUCUAUAUUCUUAUAGAGUCUGGCUAGUCCAAAGUCUUAGGAAAAAUAACAGACCAACAGUGUUUCUUUUGAGCUAGAAGCUGGUCAUGGAUGUGAGCACUAACCCAACCAUAUAAUGAUGAUGACAACAG